Empidonax traillii (willow flycatcher) is the source of this 995-nucleotide long non-coding RNA. RefSeq lists it as uncharacterized. The transcript is spliced from 3 exons. The record is from RefSeq and is a predicted model, not a curated record. Lineage: Eukaryota; Metazoa; Chordata; Aves; Passeriformes; Tyrannidae.
CACUUUUAAGAGGAACUGUUUGGCUUCCCGGGGAUAAUGUGUCUGUGAAGCAUGGGAGACUUUCUGGACUCGUUGAACUUUCGGAGGCAGCCCAGCAAGGUGUGAAAUCCUGCAUCACUUGAACUUCUCCUGCUACGUGUGCUGGGUAUGUUGGAAGAAAAAAAUUGAAAGAGCUAAAACCAAGGAGACACGACAUCAGACCUGAAAUUUUAGUUACCAUCGCUUGAACAUAUAAAAUGGACCCAGGGCCGAUGAACCAUGGCAGGGUUUAAUUCUUCAGCGCUGGAUGAUGCAGGAAUCCAGAGGCCUGAAUUCAAGCCUGAUUUGAACAGGCCAGUGCAUCUUUAGUUUUUUGCAUAAGUCAAUUAGCACCCCGUAUCAAUUUGUGCUGAUUCCCCAGUCUCUGCAACUUUUCCAGGCCUCUUAUGCAAAUGGGGCCUGGAAGCAAACAAGUGAGUGACCCAGAAGGCUGGUACGGGGCUGGGCACCAUUGUUCUCAGGCCAGGAAUUUCAGUGCUCCAUUUGUUCAUGGAGUAAGUUAAAAAAAAAUGAGAAGCCACAAGGAUAACUACCUCCUCAGGCUUAAUUAUUGUACCCUUUGUACUGUUCUUCCCAGGGUAGAAAAAGAGGCAUUCAUGGUCCUCUCACUGCAUUUAGAUUCACUGGGUUGUUUUUCACUGUAAAUAUAGAGGAAGAACACUGAAACUGGAAUGGCAAGAGGUUUUAAAGUCAACCCCUCUUUGUAGUCGCAAACUGUGCCAUGAAAUCAGUUUGGUAACAUUUAUCCUGGUGAUCUGGUAAAUGACUUAAAAAUGCAGCACAUUUAGGAGUUGAAUUAGGGUCCUUCAAAUGAAGAUUCAUUCCUGGAAAAUUUAGUUAGACCACACCUGUUAAUUUAAAACUAUCUGAGUGAAAAGGGGCUCAAGCUGCAAAACUCAGGCAGAUUUCUGACACCGUAGCUGUUCAAGGAUGGAUGCAUCCUUGGGGUUGGUGCA